This 253-nucleotide ribosomal RNA is filed under the name uncultured bacterium. RNAcentral describes it as "partial 16S ribosomal RNA". It matches the Rfam family "Bacterial small subunit ribosomal RNA", at positions 524 to 776 of the family's 1533-position model. The record is from RNAcentral.
UACGAAGGGGGCUAGCGUUGCUCGGAAUUACUGGGCGUAAAGCGCCCGUAGGCGGCUUCUUAAGUCGGUGGUGAAAUCCUGGAGCUCAACUCCAGAACUGCCUUCGAUACUGGGAAGCUCGAGUCCGGGAGAGGUGAGUGGAACUGCGAGUGUAGAGGUGAAAUUCGUAGAUAUUCGCAAGAACACCAGUGGCGAAGGCGGCUCACGGGCCCGGUACUGACGCUGAGGUGCGAAAGCGUGGGGAGCAAACAGG